GGAAAAUGCUCCCAGACACCAAAACUUCUGCCUCUUCACAUAUCACAACAGCAACAUUCAGUAGCAUUCCAGAGGAUCCUGGGCUUCAGGUCUUCUCUUCUUUAUGGAAGACAAACGAGGAAAGAAAGGAGUUAGAGCCUCUCCAUAUGCUCAUCUGCAACCAAAGUUCCCAUCUCGGAUCAGAGGUCCUCUGGCAGCUGGU
RNAcentral lists this long non-coding RNA (202 nucleotides) under Homo sapiens (human). RNAcentral describes it as "HSALNT0166877". The record is from RNAcentral. Lineage: Eukaryota; Metazoa; Chordata; Mammalia; Primates; Hominidae.